AUGCUAGGGAAGCAAGGAUGGCGUUUGAUCACUCAUCCGGACUCCCUCUGCUCCAGAGUUCUGAACGGGAAGUAUUUCCCGCUGACAGAUUUCCAAAAUGCUACGGCCCCAGUUCGGUCUUCAACCACCUGGAAAGCCAUUAUAGCAGGACGGAAGGCCCUCGACACGGGACUCAUCAAACGCGUCGGGGAUGGUUCGUCGAUCUCGACGUGGACAAAUCGAUGGAUCCCUAGUACCAUCUCUCUGAAACCUACAGGUCGCAUUGGUGAUGCCCAACUUGACAGAGUUUCAGACUUGAUCGACAACUACACACAAGGUUGGAAAGUGGAAGUUGUAAGGCAGAAUUUCCUCCACCCAGAUGCAGAGGCCAUAUUGAACAUUCCCUUGAAUUCUGCGGGAGGCGAAGAUACAAUUGCUUGGGCCCUCGAAAAAUCCGGCAUCUACUCUGUUAAAUCAGCGUAUCGUUCUCUUGUGACUCACAACGAGCUUGGCUCUCUAGAGGAAGGGACGAUCACAGAAACCUCAAGGACAGAUAAACAGACAUGGGAUGCUCUUUGGAAACUUCAUGUGGUGCCCAAAGUACGAGUCUUCUGGUGGCGAGUUUUGAGAGGUAUCCUUCCGGACUCGGUCACUCUUCAACAUAGACAUAUCAAAACUCAAAGCAUAUGCGACAUCUGCAAAGCCAUGAAUGAGGAUCUGAUGCAUGCACUCAUACACUGUGUGCACGCUAAAGCUUUCUGGAUAGCAGCGAAGGAUCGGUUUGAAUUUUCACUUCCGAGACUUCAUCCAGAUUCUUGGGCUAGAGAUAUCUUGCUCGACGACAUGUUUUCCGAUGACACAAGGUGCAAGAUUAUUACCAUUAUGCACUCCAUAUGGACUUCACGGAACCACUGGACACAUGACAGGGAUGGAUAUGAACCCGUUCACGCGAUCAAGUGA
This 939-nucleotide ribosomal RNA is filed under the name Triticum aestivum (bread wheat). RNAcentral describes it as "partial small subunit ribosomal RNA". Lineage: Eukaryota; Viridiplantae; Streptophyta; Magnoliopsida; Poales; Poaceae. The record is from RNAcentral.